RNAcentral lists this transfer RNA (73 nucleotides) under Rhodococcus sp. WMMA185. RNAcentral's name for it is "Rhodococcus sp. SCSIO 00026 tRNA". It matches the Rfam family "tRNA". Rfam says of the family: Transfer RNA (tRNA) molecules are approximately 80 nucleotides in length. Their secondary structure includes four short double-helical elements and three loops (D, anti-codon, and T loops). Further hydrogen bonds mediate the characteristic L-shaped molecular structure. tRNAs have two regions of fundamental functional importance: the anti-codon, which is responsible for specific mRNA codon recognition, and the 3' end, to which the tRNAs corresponding amino acid is attached (by aminoacyl-tRNA synthetases). tRNAs cope with the degeneracy of the genetic code in two manners: having more than one tRNA (with a specific anti-codon) for a particular amino acid; and 'wobble' base-pairing, i.e. permitting non-standard base-pairing at the 3rd anti-codon position. Lineage: Bacteria; Bacillati; Actinomycetota; Actinomycetes; Mycobacteriales; Nocardiaceae. The record is from Rfam by way of RNAcentral.
GCCGACAUAGUUUCAAUUGGCAGAGCAUCAGCCUUCCAAGCUGAGGGUACGGGUUCGAUUCCCGUUGUCGGCU